UCAGAUUGAACGCUGGCGGCAUGCUUUACACAUGCAAGUCGAACGGCAGCACGAAAGAGCUUGCUCUUUUGGUGGCGAGUGGCGAACGGGUGAGUAAUACAUUGGAACGUGCCCAGUAAUGGGGGAUAACUGUCCGAAAGGAUGGCUAAUACCGCAUACGCUCUGAGGAGGAAAGCGGGGGACCNCAGGGCCUCGCGUUAUUGGAGCGGCCAAUGUCUGAUUAGCUAGUUGGUGGGGUAAAGGCUUACCAAGGCGACGAUCAGUAGUGGGUCUGAGAGGAUGAUCCGCCACACUGGGACUGAGACACGGCCCAGACUCCUACGGGAGGCAGCAGUGGGGAAUUUUGGACAAUGGGCGAAAGCCUGAUCCAGCC
Molecule: ribosomal RNA, 373 nt
Filed under: uncultured Neisseria sp.
Lineage: Bacteria; Pseudomonadati; Pseudomonadota; Betaproteobacteria; Neisseriales; Neisseriaceae
Description: bacterial SSU rRNA
Rfam family: Bacterial small subunit ribosomal RNA
Source: RNAcentral